GACGAACGCUGGCGGCGUGCCUAAUACAUGCAAGUAGAACGCACAGUUUAUACCGUAGCUUGCUACACCAUAAACUGUGAGUUGCGAACGGGUGAGUAACGCGUAGGUAACCUGCCUGGUAGCGGGGGAUAACUAUUGGAAACGAUAGCUAAUACCGCAUAAUAUUAAUUAUUGCAUGAUAAUUGAUUGAAAGAUUCACUUGCAUCACUACCAGAUGGACCUGCGUUGUAUUAGCUAGUAGGUGAGGUAACGGCUCACCUAGGCGACGAUACAUAGCCGACCUGAGAGGGUGAUCGGCCACACUGGGACUGAGACACGGCCCAGACUCCUACGGGAGGCAGCAGUAGGGAAUCUUCGGCAAUGGACGAAAGUCUGACCGAGCAACGCCGCGGGAGUGAAGAAGGUUUUCGGAUCGUAAAGCUCUGUUGUAAGAGAAGAACGGGUGUGAGAGUGGAAAGUUCACACUGUGACGGUAUCUUACCAGAAAGGGACGGCUAACUACGUG
This 505-nucleotide ribosomal RNA is filed under the name uncultured bacterium. Its description in RNAcentral is "partial 16S ribosomal RNA". It matches the Rfam family "Bacterial small subunit ribosomal RNA", at positions 28 to 507 of the family's 1533-position model. The record is from RNAcentral.